AUUUAAUAAAAUUAUUAAAUGGAUAACUAUGGAAAUACUAAGGCUAAUACAUGUUAAAUUUUUGGUAGAAAAAGUAAUGAUUAAGAAUGAAAGAAAUAAGUGUAUGUUUGAAUAUAAUAGUAUGUUGAGUUAUUUUAAUUAAAUGAAUUAUAAAAAGUAAUAAGUUAAUUAUGUUUUUGACCUAUCAGCUUUAAUAAUAAGAUAUUGGCUUAAAAUAGUAGUGACGGGUAACGGAGGAUUAAAGUUUGGUUCUGGAGAAGGAGCUUGAGAAACAGCUACUACAUCUAAGGAAGGCAGCAGGCGCGUAAAUUAUCCAAUUUUUAUAAAAAGAGGUAGUGAUUAGGAAUAACAAUACAAAGUACAAAAGUUAUUUUGUAAUUGGAAUGAGAUAAAUACAAAGAUUUUAUUAAAUUUUAAUUAAAGGGCAAGUCUGGUGCCAGCAGCCGCGGUAAUUCCAGUUUUAAUAAUAUAUAUUAAUAUUGUUGCAGUUAAAAAGCUCGUAGUUGCAAUUAUGAUAAUAAUAAAUGAUUUUAUUUUAUGUAAAAUUUAUUUUAUAAUUAUUAGAAUAAUUUAAAAAAUUAUAUAUGUUUGUAUAGAAAGUUUUAAAAAUUUAUUUUGAAGAAAUUAGAGUGUUUUAAGCGGGAGUUUUUAAUUGAAUAAUGGAGUAUGGAAUAUUUUGAUUAUAAUAUAAUUUUUUUGUUGGUUUUAAAAUGUUGGUUAAUAAUUUUUAAAAAUAGUUGGGGGUAUUUGUAUUUAACUGCAAGAGGUGAAAUUCUUGGAUUUGUUGACGGUAAAUUAUUGCGAAAGCAUUUAUUAAGAAUAUUUUUUUUUAAUUAAGAACAAAAGUUAAGGGAUCGAAGAUGAUCAGAUACCGUCGUAGUCUUAAUUAUAAACUAUGCCAAUUAGAGAUUAGAUGUGAUUGAUUGUAUGAUUUAUUUGGUGUUUUUUAGAGAAAUCAAAGUUUUUAGGUUUUGGGGGAAGUAUGGUUGCAAGAUUGAAACUUAAAGGAAUUGACGGAAAGGCACCACCAGAAGUGGAGUAUGCGGUUUAAUUUGACUCAACACAGUAAAUUUUAUUAGGUCCAGACAUAAGAAGGAUUGAUAGAUUAAUAGUUUUUUUUUGAUUUUAUGGGUAGUGGUGCAUGGCCGUUCUUAGUUGGUGGAGUAAUUUGUCUGGUUAAUUCCGUUAACGAACAAGACUUUAAUUUAUUAAAUAGAAAAAUAAUUGAUGAAAUAAUUUUAGUUUUAUUGUUUUUAAAUAGAUUUUAUAUACAUAAUAUAAGGAAGUUUAAAGUAAUAACAGGUCUGUAAUGCCCUUAGAUGUUCUAGGCUACACGCGUGCUACAUUAUUGUGAUUAAAUAGUUUAUAGUUUUAAUUGUUAAAUUUUAGUAAUCUAAAAAAUAACAUUGUAAUUGGGAUAGUGUAUUGAAAUUAUUAUUCUUAAACGAGGAAUUUCUAGUAAAUACAAGUCAAAAACUUGUAUUGAUUAUGUCCCUGCCUUUUGUACACACCGCCCGUCGCUCCUACUGAUUGAAUGAACCGGUGAAUAAAUUGGAAUAUAUGUAAAUAAAAAUUAGAUUUCAUGUAUUAGAAAAUUUUUAAAUCUU
Molecule: ribosomal RNA, 1607 nt
Filed under: Aggregata sinensis
Lineage: Eukaryota; Apicomplexa; Marosporida; Aggregatidae
Description: Aggregata sp. JiR-2019a partial small subunit ribosomal RNA
Rfam family: Eukaryotic small subunit ribosomal RNA
Source: RNAcentral